Molecule: ribosomal RNA, 281 nt
Filed under: uncultured bacterium
Lineage: Bacteria
Description: partial 16S ribosomal RNA
Rfam family: Bacterial small subunit ribosomal RNA
Source: RNAcentral
CGCUCGUGGGAGUUGCCUGCGUAAUAUCAGCUAGUUGGUAGGGUAAUGGCCUACCAAGGCUACGACGCUUAGGGGAGCUGAGAGGCUCGACCCCCACCGAUGGAACUGCGACACGGUCCAUACUCCUACGGGAGGCUGCAGACGAGAAUAUUCCGCAAUGGGCGAAAGCCUGACGGAGCGACGCCGCGUGAUUGAUGAAGUGCUUCGGUACGUAAAGAUUCUUUUAUCGGGGACGAAGUUUAUUGACGGUACCCGAUGAAUAAGGGGCUCCUAACUCUGUG